Molecule: small nuclear RNA, 104 nt
Organism: Suncus etruscus (white-toothed pygmy shrew)
Lineage: Eukaryota; Metazoa; Chordata; Mammalia; Eulipotyphla; Soricidae
Source: RefSeq, a predicted model, not a curated record
GUACUCGCUUCGGCAGCACAUAUACUAAAAUUGGAAUGAUACAAAGAUUAGCAUGGCCCCUGCACAAGGAUGACAUGCAAAUUCGUGAAGCAUUCCAGAUUUAA